UACGUAGGGGGCAAGCGUUGUCCGGAAUUAUUGGGCGUAAAGGGCUCGUAGGCGGUUUGUCGCGUCGGGAGUGGAAUCCACUGGCUUAACUGGUGGCUUGCUUUCGAUACGGGCAGACUGGAGGUAUGCAGGGGAGAACGGAAUUCCUGGUGUAGCGGUGAAAUGCGCAGAUAUCAGGAGGAACACCGGUGGCGAAGGCGGUUCUCUGGGCAUGUCCUGACGCUGAGGAGCGAAAGUGUGGGGAGCGAACAGG
Molecule: ribosomal RNA, 253 nt
Filed under: uncultured bacterium
Lineage: Bacteria
Description: partial 16S ribosomal RNA
Rfam family: Bacterial small subunit ribosomal RNA
Source: RNAcentral